Chrysemys picta bellii (western painted turtle) is the source of this 2059-nucleotide long non-coding RNA. RefSeq lists it as uncharacterized. Lineage: Eukaryota; Metazoa; Chordata; Testudines; Emydidae. The record is from RefSeq and is a predicted model, not a curated record.
GUUGUCAUGUUUGUGCUGCAAUGAUGUAGCCCAGAUAUGACUGACAUGGUGCCCAUCACUGCACCCUGUCCCACGGAAUACACUCUACCUUUGCAAGGAAGGGCUGCAGCCAAUGGGUGUUCCAGGGGACAUAGCAUACCUGGUAACAAGGGGGAGCUGGAGGACCCUCUUUUGGGGCUCGGAGACGGCUCCGCUAGCACUUUUACCCUGGAGACGUGAUCAACCGGAGUUGAAAGGUGGCUCUUUUCACACCAACAGACGUCACUGAAACUGUGCAGAUAAUUGGAACGAGAAGCUACAAAGGUGUUAAUGGCACCAGCAGCCGGGCCUUUGACCUAUACGCAAUUAUAGACCUGCUUGAAGCUGCUGACUGCUAACCAGAUGCCAAGGGCUCUGUGUGUCUUCCAUUUCCUCCUUCCAGUUCUCCGAUUUUCACCAAAAUCAAAACCACUGAUGCCUCGAACAUUCUCUGAAAUUUUGGAUUCGAUUGGGUGCGGCAUUCAAACGUUAUUGCAUUACAUCCCAAUAUCCAAACAGAGACAUACCAUCAAAUUGAGUGUAGGACCUUGCUUUGCUUGGCUGAUAAUGCUCAGUCUGGCUGUCAGCGGGUGCAACGUCAGUAGAGUUCUGUCUUGGGCCCCACCACCAGAGCCUCUAACAGCCUGUGACACAAUGGUGUCUUUGAAGUUAGUGCAUCUUUGCAGAGGCCAGAUCUGCCAGGUUUAUGUAGCCUGCAAGCCCUGGUUUAGCUUCUGCGAUCCCAUGCUCUAAGGUGGUAUGAAGUCAUGGCGAAGCUUCUCUGGGUAGUUUUCAUAAUUGCCAUGUUAGAAAAUAUUAUGGUCUGUGGAAAUCUGUUUGUUAUUGUGAAUCAAGCUAAAGAACUAUACAGUACUUUGUAAACCAAGCUGUCAGCUGAAUGUCUCCCCCAGAGAUCUCCAGUGAGUAUUUAGCUGAGACAUUUGUAUAUAUGGAAUUACAUCUCCAGUUAUUUGUCAUGAUAGUAAACAGAGGGAAAACUAUUAACCAUGCAUCACAAUAAUGAACAAUAUCACUUACAAACGUUGCCGUGUAAAGCUGAAUGAAAGCUAACAAGGCCACAUUCUGCAGAGAAACAGGGCAGGUAAUGCUAUCUCCAUGGCCUCUUAGCUUAACCCCGGGGUUCUCAAACUGGGGGGUCGCAAGGUUAUUACUUGGGGGGUUGUGAGCUGUCAGCCUCCACCCCAAACCCUGCUUCACCGCCAGCAUUUAUAAUAGUGUUAAAUAUAAAAAAGUUUUUUUAAUUUACAUGGGGGGGGGUCUCAUUCAGAGGCUUGCUGUGUGAAAGGGGUCACCACUACAAAAGUUUGAGAACCACUGGCUAACACAAUGGCAUUUUCCAGACUGUCACCAGCUGAAUGACUGCAUCAAAGGACAGAUAUCUGUUGUAGGGACUGCCAUACCAGGUCAGACCAGUGGCCUGUCUAGUGCAGUCUCCUAUCUCCAGGAGGGGACAGUCCCUGAUGUUUCAAAGGAAGGUGCAAGUAACCGCAGAGAGGACAAUUAUGGAUUAACCUGCGGGCUGUUUCUCAGUAACCCUGAGAUUGAUUUAUAUCCUAACAAAAGCAUGUUUAUAACAAUGCUGUUUUUUCCACAUGUAAUGUGACCGUGUCUGCAACCUCUAAAGGAACAAUGGGCCAGACUCCCCAUUGGUGUAAAUCAGGAUCGCUCUACUGAAGUCAGUGGGCUAGAUUCCUAGUUGGUGUAAAUCUACAAGGCAGUGUGGCCUAGUGGUACAGCGCCGGACAGGGUUAUGUUCUCCUCUCUGCUACUGGCCUGAUCGGUGACACUGGCCAAAUCACUUCAUGGCCUCAGUUUCCCUUUCUGUGCACUGUGGAUAAUGAUGCUGACUUCCUUUGUAAAGCACUGUGAGAUCACCUGAUGCUAAGUGCUAUUAUUAUCAUUAUCAAGUCAAUGGGCCUAAUCCCCAGCUGGUGUCAAUUGGUGCAAUUCGAUUGACUUCAGUGCAGCUAUGCUGAUUUACACAUGCUAAGAGUCUGUCGAAUAAAUCUAUUUUAAUCAA